AAAAGAAGAGAAAAGAGUAAAAAAUAAAACAAGCCCCAUAAAACAAGCCUAAAUAAAGAGAGAAAUCUCGAAAAUCUCGAAUCGUGGCGGUCGUGGGUUUUGCCGUUGGAAUCUCUCAUCUUUCCCUCUCCAUUCACCNUGUAACAAAGGGAGAGAAAAUUUUUUAUUUGAUAAAAAGGUAUAGUUUUUUGAGAUAUGGG
RNAcentral lists this unclassified non-coding RNA (200 nucleotides) under Hevea brasiliensis (rubber tree). The record is from RNAcentral. Lineage: Eukaryota; Viridiplantae; Streptophyta; Magnoliopsida; Malpighiales; Euphorbiaceae.